Molecule: long non-coding RNA, 678 nt
Filed under: Salvia miltiorrhiza (redroot sage)
Lineage: Eukaryota; Viridiplantae; Streptophyta; Magnoliopsida; Lamiales; Lamiaceae
Description: long non-coding RNA (SMIL_LNC005343)
Source: RNAcentral
UUCAAAGGUAGAAUGAGAAAUUUUAGCAGCCAUCAAAGAAAAAAGGUUAGUAAAUGUUGUUUAUUCCACUUAUGUGCUGAUUGUAGUGUUCAUACUUGCGAGUUGAGUGAUUGUUGAAACUGGUGAGAUUGUAUGGAUGCCUAUAACAAGUUUGUUGAAAUGCCCAAACAAACGUAGAAAAAAAAAAAAAAAAACUCAGGAAAAUUAAUUUAGUUACGAGUCAAUUCUCCAUUCUGUUAUUUGUGAUCCUCUCUCCUUGCAUCUAAGUGCGAAUGUAAGGGACUUGCAGGGAGAAUGGCAUAAAUAUAUAUACAUAUAUGUCAUAUACAUCCUUAAAAAUGUUCAUUUUUCUAGGAAUUCGCCUCCUUCAAACUUAGAUGAGGAGCCGCCGUGAUAAGAGCAUUCUCAAAUAACUGUUACAGAAGAUAGUGGAAAGAUGUGAAGUUAAAAAGUGGAAGCUAUGAUCAUAGAAAUGCCGGUAAAUUUUGCUCUGCAACCUUGUUAAUGUUUGUAUCAAUGCUAGCAUAUGAUUAUGUUAAUACAUAUGUUACAUGUUUGUUGCCUGAACCGCUGCAAGUUCUUGACUUUAUUGUGCUAAGAAUGAAUGCCAUUUCUAGGAAGGAGCCAACUGCCUUAGUGAGUUUCCUGCGUCAUGUUGAUGCUAAUUGCUGGUUUUGG